CACGUAGGGGGCAAGCGUUGUCCGGAUUUAUUGGGCGUAAAGAGCUCGUAGGCGGUUUCGUAAGUCGGGUGUGAAAACUCCAGGCUCAACCUGGAGACGUCGACGGAAACCAUCUGGCUAGAGUCCGGAAGAGGAGAGUGGAAUUCCUGGUGUAGCGGUGAAAUGCGUAGAUAUCGGAAGGAACACCAGUGGCGAAAGCGGCUUCCUGGUCCAGCACCGACGUUCAGGCACGAAAGCGUGGGGAGCAAACAGG
This 253-nucleotide ribosomal RNA is filed under the name uncultured bacterium. Its description in RNAcentral is "partial 16S ribosomal RNA". It matches the Rfam family "Bacterial small subunit ribosomal RNA", at positions 524 to 776 of the family's 1533-position model. The record is from RNAcentral.